GUCCACGCCUAACGAUGUCAACUGGUUGUUGGACGGCUUGCUGUUCAGUAACGAAGCUAACGCGUGAAGUUGACCGCCUGGGAGUACGGCCGCAAGGUUGAACUCAAAGGAAUUGACGGGACCCGCACAAGCGGUGGAUGAUGUGGUUUAAUUCGAUGCAACGCGAAACCUUACCUACCCUUGACAUGUCUAGAAGUUUCCAGAGAUGGAUUCGUGCUCGAAGAGAACUAGAACACAGGUGCUGCAUGGCCGUCGU
This 256-nucleotide ribosomal RNA is filed under the name uncultured bacterium. Its description in RNAcentral is "partial 16S ribosomal RNA". It matches the Rfam family "Bacterial small subunit ribosomal RNA", at positions 793 to 1055 of the family's 1533-position model. The record is from RNAcentral.